Molecule: small nuclear RNA, 94 nt
Filed under: Mus spretus (western wild mouse)
Lineage: Eukaryota; Metazoa; Chordata; Mammalia; Rodentia; Muridae
Source: RNAcentral
AUGCUUGCUUCAGCAGCACAUAUACUAAAAUCAGAAUGAUACAGAGAAAAUUAGCAUGGCCCCUGCACAAAUUGGUGAAGUGUUCCAUAUUUUU